Dermochelys coriacea (leatherback sea turtle) is the source of this 4743-nucleotide RNA transcript. It is a transcript of the gene named predicted GPI-anchored protein 58, with no coding region annotated. The transcript has 5 exons. The record is from RefSeq and is a predicted model, not a curated record. NCBI's taxonomy places the organism in Eukaryota, Metazoa, Chordata, Testudines, Dermochelyidae.
UCGCCCUACCUCUUCUCUCCUCCCCCAACCAGGCCGGGAAAGGAGUGGGUGCCCCCCACUCUCAGACCAGGGGUUGUGGGGUCUCACUGCAGCGCUAUCACGCCGGCUUCCCAUGAUCUGGCUGGAGGCAUAUCCCGGCAGGCUUGUUUAGAGCUGGUGCUGGCCCAAAAGAAAUGAGUUGUCAUAAAAGUGCCCAGGCACAGAACUCGGGUGAGCUGCCCCUGGCCUGUACCUGCCCCCAGCGUCUGCAAAACACCCUCACGCUGCAGCGUGAGCAGCCCCCUGCAUUGCCCCAAGACCCUGGCCUGCAAAGCCCUCACUGCAGCCGGAGCAGCCCCCUGCACUGCCCCAAGACCCUGGCCUGCAAAGCCCUCACUGCAGCCGGAGCAGCCCCCUGCACUGUCCCAAGACCCUGGCCUGCAAAGCACCCCCUCGCUGCAGCUGGAGCAGCCCCCUGCACUGCCCCAAGACCCUGGCCUGCAAAGCCCUCACUGCAGCCGGAGCAGCCCCCUGCACUGUCCCAAGACCCUGGCCUGCAAAGCACCCCCUCGCUGCAGCUGGAGCAGCCCCCUGCACUGCCCCAAGACCCUGGCCUGCAAAGCCCUCACUGCAGCCGGAGCAGCCCCCUGCACUGUCCCAAGACCCUGGCCUGCAAAGCACCCCCUCGCUGCAGCUGGAGAGCCCCCUGCACUGACCCAAGACCCUGGCCUGCAAAGCCCUCACUGCAGCCGGAGCAGCCCCUUGCACUGCCCCAAGACCCUGGCCUGCAAAGCACCCCCUCGCUGCAGCCAGAGCAGCCUCUUCACUGCACCAAGGAAAUAGCGCUGUCCUCAAGUCCAAAGUUUCCUGACUGCUUGGAAGUUCUGACAAUGUUUAUAACAGCUACUGAAACACCUCAAAAUCCCAUAACCCUCAGCCAAAAAAUGUACAAUUUAAUGGAUAAAGCCAUCUGCUUUAAGAUUAGAAUGCUGGAGCCUGUGAGGCUGUUCCCUUAAAGCUGAUCCUGAAAGCUGCUGCUUCAUGCUUAAUUUGCUGCGCUUCAGUUGGACAUUGUGACAGUUUUGGUGUUUAUGAACAAGACUGCUAUUUACAGAAAAUGCUGCCUCCCAUUUGACAGCAGUUAGAUACUGAGAGAAACUCACUGGAAAGUGGGUAGGUCAGAGAUGGAAAAAGCAGAUUUUGCACAUGAAAAACUUCCUGGAAAAGAGUUUACAAAAUGACUGCCAGCAUUUCCAUGGAAACCCCCAAAAAUAAAGACUUUCCCAGCCUUGUGAGAACACACCUGCAAGAACCAGAAUCACAUUUAGCCUUUGGCAUGUCAAAAGUGACUCUCCUUCAUUUUGGUGUCACCUAAGGACAUUUGUUUUUACACUACAUAUGGAUAUGUUCUCUCAAAAUUUGCGGGAAGUAUAUAUUAAUUUAAAAUUGCUAUCAUUUGAACUCUUGCCAUUGAGUAGUAACAAAUGUGUUUUGCUAUCCAACAAUUCUCUCUUUAAAAUGUUACUUCAUUCUCUUUUUACGGGAAAAUAAACAAAGAAAAGGAACUGCUCUAAAGACCGUAGAGCUGAGGUUUGCAGUCCUGAGACAACAGAAUUAAGAAUCUUUAGAAAUAAGAAUUGUGUUCAGAUCUUUUUAAAUUGCUAAUCUUGUACAGAUACGUUUUUAGAUAACAAGCCAAAUUUUCAGCAUCCCAAUUUCAAAUUUUUCAUGCCCAACCACUUGUGCCAGGUAACUGCCCCAUACUUAAAGAAAACAUGAAUUGGCAUGUGCAAAAUGACUGCACACCAUUCUCUUCCCCCCCUCCCCCCGCGCCACAUGUCUACUUUUUUCCAAACACAGUCAGUUGUGGAUGCAAAGCUGGAUUCACAAAAUUGGAAACUGGCUAAAAAAAUUGCCCCUUGGUGGUUUUGUUUGCUAUGUAUCAAAGCUGUUGAUUUUUACAUAUUUCUAAAGGUACUCUGUCAGUACUACAGCACUAAGGAGCAACCUUACAUCAACCAAACUUGCAAAUGAACACUAAAGGAAAGUGAGGAGAUUUUUUGCUAAGGAAACCUUCUCCAAGGAUCCCUUACACAGUGAGUGAAAAAAGGGACAUUUUAGAUAAUUUAAGAAAUACACCUGGAGAUUGUCUUAACUCAAUAGUGGCAAAGUAAGUACUUUCAGAAUCAUUUCCAUGAAUAUUUGGUCAAAUAAAACAGCUGAACUGAACUCAGCCUUGUCCACGCCCCAAUUUGUUUGCUUUUCACAAAUAUUCUAACAAGUGAGUUCACUGGCAAGAUUAUCUGAGGUUACCUUUACUCUUACUGAAUAGUGAAUCCAUGAAUAAUCCUACUGAAGGUAAUUGGUUGUUUUGUGAAGUAAGGCACUACUCAACAUAAGAAAGGAUAUCAACAGCUGCCUCUACAUUAAUAUUAAAGAAUAUUCACAGAAACCAAUUUUUUAUCUCAAACACUUCCAAACUGUAUCAAUGCAACUACAUCGAACUAAAGAGUACAACUGAAAUUUUGAACAGCAGAUGUAGCGAAUGGACGACAAUUAAUCUGCAGAUUCAGCAUUAUUUGCACAAAUUACAUGGUGAAUAAUUUCAAACAAUAAAUAGAUUAGAGAAAAUCAUACGGUGUUUGUGGGACAAUCCACAAGCAGAAAAAAAUGCUAAAUUAAAAUGUUGUUUAUGCACUCAGCUAUACUUUGAUAACCAAGAGUUACUCUCUGAUAAUAACUCACUUCAUCGGAUACAUCCGAUGAAGUGAGCUGUAGCUCAUGAAAGCUUAUGCUCAAAUAAAUUUGUUAGUCUCUAAGAUGCCAUAAGUACUCUUUUUUUUUUUCCUCUCUCUGAUAAUAUUCGAUCUGGUUGAGUGCAUUUUGAACAUAAAUUUAGAUAUAGACUGAGGCCUAAUUAUGAUACAUCUAUAUACAGCUUACUGUUAUGUAUAAGAGAGACAAGGUGAGUGAGGUAGUAUCUUUUAGUGGACCAACUUCUGUUGGUGGAAGGGACAAGUUUUGGAGCACGGAACAAGAAUGUCCAAGUUAAAUAUAAGAUGGGACAGACUGUUUAAGGAUAGGGGGUUCAUACACAUUGUUGGAGACCACUUAAAAUGAAGUGGGCAAUUAACAUCUCUGCAGUCAUAGGACAAUGAAGGGUUUAAGUAACAGGGUAUGUUGCAAAUUGUUGUAAUGGCAUCUCUGUUAGGUCCGUUGUUUUUAGUGUCCAGCAGAGUUAUGAAUUGAAAUUCCCAGGCUUGUCUCAUGAAGAUGUUGUGCAGGUUUCCUUUGAAGAUGAGGACUGAGAGGUUAGAUAUGAAGUUAUUGCUUUGUAAGAAGUGUUUGCUCCUGGGUGAUAUGGUGUUUUUGUCAUUUAUAAUUUUUUACAACAUAUCUUUCAAGAUCCAUAAGUCCUACACAUGCCUAUUACAAUAAGUGGUGUAUCUAAUCCAAUGCAUCAAAUGCCCCAACAACAACUAUAUGGGUGAAACCAAUCACUAUGCUCUAGAUUGAACACUCAGAGAAAAAAAAAUGAUAAACGCCACAUUUUGUGUAUCACCGAUGCGAGAACACUUUUCACAAAGUGAUCACUCCGUAUCUGACCUCUCAGUCCUCAUCUUCAUAGGAUGCAGCACCUUCAAGAGAUGAGCAUGGGAACUUAGGCCUGAUCUACACUAGAACAUUAAGUUAGCUUAACAACAUCGUCCAGGGGUGUGAAAAAAAUCUACACCCCUGAACAGCACAGUUAAACUGACCUAACCCACAAGUGUAGACAGCACUGGGUCUACAGAAGAAUUCUCCUAGCUACUGCCUCUCUGGCAGGUGCAUUACCUAUACUGAUGGGAGAAUCCCUCCUGUCGGCAUUGGUAGUGUCUAUAUUGAAGUGCUAGAGCAAUGCAGCUAUGCCACUAUAGCAGGGGUUCUCAAACUGGGGGUCUGGACCCCUCAGGGGGUAUGAGGUUAUCACAUGGGGGUUAUGAGCUGUCAGCCUCCACUCUAAACCCUGCUUUGCUUCCAGCAUCUAUAAUGGUGUUAAAUAUAUAAAACAGUGUUUUUAAUUUAUUGGGGGGGGUCAUACUCAGAGGCUUGCUAUGUGAAAGGAGUCACCAGUAUAAAACUGCACUAUAGCAUUUCAAAUGUAGACAAGCCCUUAAAUUCAUAAUUGCUGAACAGUAAAAACCAUGGACUUGAGACACUGAUUUUAUGGCCCAUUUCAACAAUCUAUAACAUACCCUGCUACCUCCACUGUCUGACCCUCCCACUACUACCUCUCCAUUUUCCUUUGAGUGCAGGGUGUUACUUGCCCACUUUAUUUAAAGUCGUCUCCUACAACCUGUGAACCCAUUAUGUUUAACGAUCUGUCCCGCCCCCCCCCCCGUAUUUUGCUUGGCCACCUCUGUACCUUCUCCAGACCUGAGGAAGAGUUCUGUGAAGCCUGAAAGCUUGUCCCUUCUACCCACAGAAGCUGGUCCAAUAAAAGAUAUUAUCUCACCUGCCUUGUCUCUCUUAUAUCUCUCAACAUAGCUACAACGCUACCACAAACAACCAGUCACUCUCAAGUGUGCUAUACCAUCUCAGGCUGAUUGCAUUAGGGCUGGACUUGUCUGAUACUCAUAUAAGAGAUCUUCAUGAAAAAUACAGGUGGAUGCACAAAAUGGUGUUGACAAUUUUGGAUAAGACAAAUCUCAAGGUCCUGAAUACUUGCAGUCCUUAAAGUUCCUAAGUCAUUUUCAUUUUCAAGAACAGGAAUGUAAUCCAACA